This 426-nucleotide ribosomal RNA is filed under the name 'Cyperus rotundus' phytoplasma. RNAcentral's name for it is "bacterial SSU rRNA". It matches the Rfam family "Bacterial small subunit ribosomal RNA", at positions 776 to 1211 of the family's 1533-position model. The record is from RNAcentral. Lineage: Bacteria; Bacillati; Mycoplasmatota; Mollicutes; Acholeplasmatales; Acholeplasmataceae.
GAUUAGAUACCCUGGUAGUCCACGCCGUAAACGAUGAGUACUAAGUGUCGGGUUAAACCGGUACUGAAGUUAACACAUUAAGUACUCCGCCUGGGUAGUACGUACGCAAGUAUGAAACUUAAAGGAAUUGACGGGACUCCGCACAAGCGGUGGAUCAUGUUGUUUAAUUCGAAGAUACCCGAAAAACCUUACCAGGUCUUGACAUGUUUUUGCGAAACGGUAGUAAUAUCGUAGAGGUUAUCAGAAACACAGGUGGUGCAUGGUUGUCGUCAGCUCGUGUCGUGAGAUGUUAGGUUAAGUCCUAAAACGAGCGAAACCCUUAUCGUUAGUUGCCAGCACGUUAUGGUGGGGACUUUAACGAGACUGCCAGUGAUAAACUGGAGGAAGGUGAGGAUCACGUCAAAUCAGCAUGCCCCUUAUGACCUG